This 743-nucleotide long non-coding RNA is filed under the name Homo sapiens (human). RNAcentral describes it as "HSALNT0318192". Lineage: Eukaryota; Metazoa; Chordata; Mammalia; Primates; Hominidae. The record is from RNAcentral.
GUCUGCCUCCCGCGGCGGGCCGGGUCUCCAGGGAGGACCUGAGUUUUCUUCACCCAUGGUCAGGGAGGCGCCAUCGCCCUGGCUUUGGGGCUGGGGCCUCCGGGGAGGUUCCGGUAGGGGCGUUGGAGAGGCCGCCCUUUUUGCAAGGCCCGAGACGGCGGGACCUGCACAAGCCGCCCUAUUCCAUGCCCUCAGGGCGUCAGUAUCCGCCUCAGGCCAGAUAACCCCUCUGGGCCCCGGGUGCCCCCGCUGGGCCCGGAGCAUCCUCGGCGCUGCCCUCCCAGAGCCCCGCAGAGGCUGAGGUGGCACGGGUUGGAGGGCCUGGCUCUGCGAGAAGCGGCGGCAGCGAGGGCUGGAGGACCCGGGCUACGUGGCUCUGGGGCGUCUGGCCUGGGUGGGACUGAGCCCAUCCAGGGACUGGGACUCCGGGGUUCUGGUGUAGGUGGAUCCGGGGCAGGCUCAGGACCAAGUCCCUCUCCUUCCACCAAGGAGCACCCAGAGGCCGGCGGGAGCUCCAGGUUCACCUCCUCUUCCUCCAGGAAAUCCCACUUCCAACUGGAUGUCUGGAUGAACUACUGAAAGCUGCUGAGUGUCCUGCAGCAGAUAGGGUCUCUCUCUCUGCCACUCAGGCCAGAGUGCAGUUGACGCAGAGCAGGGGAGCCCUGAAAUGGAGCAUAGUGUGUCCGGAACUGGUGGGUUCUUGGUCUCACUGACUUCAAGAAUGAAGCUGCGGACCCUCGGGA